GACCGACCUAACGAUCUUACUAUGUGUACGGUUGAGAUUUAGCUUCCUCUCUCCUCACUGCCCUAUAAAAAACGGUCAUUCAACAUUCACGUACACAAACUCUCGUCACCUUCUCUUGUAAUUUCCAGAUAAAACAAAAAUGUCUUGCUGCGGAGGGAACUGUGGGGGAUGUGGAUCUUGCUGCGGAGGGAACUGCGGGGGGAAUUGUGGAUCUUGCUGCAAGUGCGGACAGGGCUGCGGAGGGUGAAGAUCUCUAUUUUUAUUUUUAUUUUUUAUUUUUGGCUUUCCAUUUGCUACUUUGUUCGUUAACUUUUAUGGGUAAGUGAAUUUCUACUCUGUAUAAUCAAUUUAAAUUCAUUAUGAUAUGAUUUCAGGUGCAAGACGUACUUCAAUAUGAGCUGUCCGGCGGCAACUGAGAAUAGUUGCAAGUACGUUAAUAAUUACACUUGUAAUCCUUCCACAUGAAGCGUUGGCGCAAAGUCAGGAUCUGAAGCAGAGAUGAAGAAGCUAAGUUAGUAUUAGUUUUGUGUGUUUAAAUAAAUCAUCACUAGUAGGUGGUGAGACUAUAAUAUUUGUAUAAAGUAAUUAAUAGUGUUUGUAAUCUCACCUCUGCUUAAUUAUAUUAAUGAAAAACUCCUUUCUUCUAAUUG
This 650-nucleotide long non-coding RNA is filed under the name Olea europaea subsp. europaea. Lineage: Eukaryota; Viridiplantae; Streptophyta; Magnoliopsida; Lamiales; Oleaceae. The record is from RNAcentral.